UAGGAUUCAUUUCAUUAGUUAUUGAUUUCUGCUAGCUCAAAAAAUAGUGGCUUUGAUCAAGUUGGAUAAGGGUUCAAACUAAGUAUCUCGGAGACGUAAUACCCAUCUUUCACCAACAUUUUUAGUAGUCAAAUCCUCCAAUUUGGGACACCACCCAUAAAGAAGUUUCAUUAAAUCAUCUAAAGUAUCAAAAAUAAUGCCAUAGAGAAAAAGGGUUUUGAGCAAGGG
Molecule: long non-coding RNA, 228 nt
Filed under: Medicago truncatula (barrel medic)
Lineage: Eukaryota; Viridiplantae; Streptophyta; Magnoliopsida; Fabales; Fabaceae
Description: long non-coding RNA (MTRU_LNC003370)
Source: RNAcentral